CUACACAUGCAAGUCGAACGCGUCUUCGGGACGAGUGGCAGACGGGUGAGUAACGCGUGGGAACGUACCCUUUGGUUCGGAACAACGCCGGGAAACUGGCGCUAAUACCGGAUAAGCCCUUCGGGGGAAAGAUUUAUCGCCAGAGGAUCGGCCCGCGUUAGAUUAGCUUGUUGGUGAGGUAAUGGCUCACCAAGGCUACGAUCUAUAGCUGGUCUGAGAGGAUGAUCAGCCACACUGGGGCUGAGACACGGCCCAGACUCUUACGGGAGGCAGCAGUGGGGAAUCUUGGACAAUGGGCGAAAGCCUGAUCCAGCCAUGCCGCGUGAAUGAUGAAGGCCCUAGGGUUGUAAAAUUCUUUCGACGGGGAAGAUAAUGACGGUACCCGUAGAAGAAGCUCCGGCUAACUUCGUGCCAGCAGCCGCGGUAAUACGAAGGGGGCUAGCGUUGUUCGGAAUUACUGGGCGUAAAGCGCACGUAGGCGGAUCGAUAAGUAAGAGGUGAAAUCCCAGAGCUCAACUCUGGAACUGCCUUUUAAACUGUCGAUCUGGAGCAGAGUAGAGGUGAGUGGAAUUCCGAGUGUAGAGGUGAAAUUCGUAGAUAUUCGGAG
This 607-nucleotide ribosomal RNA is filed under the name uncultured bacterium. RNAcentral's name for it is "bacterial SSU rRNA". It matches the Rfam family "Bacterial small subunit ribosomal RNA", at positions 49 to 703 of the family's 1533-position model. The record is from RNAcentral.